RNAcentral lists this ribosomal RNA (468 nucleotides) under uncultured bacterium. RNAcentral describes it as "partial 16S ribosomal RNA". It matches the Rfam family "Bacterial small subunit ribosomal RNA", at positions 28 to 523 of the family's 1533-position model. The record is from RNAcentral.
GAUGAACGCUGGCGGCGUGCCUAACACAUGCAAGUCGAGCGAUUCUCUUCGGAGAAGAGCGGCGGACGGGUGAGUAACGCGUUGGUAACCUGCCCUGUACACACGGAUAACAUACCGAAAGGUAUGCUAAUACGAGAUAAUAUACUUUUAUCGCAUGGUAGAAGUAUCAAAGCUCCGGCGGUACAGGAUGGACCCGCGUCUGAUUAGCUAGUUGGUAAGGUAACGGCUUACCAAGGCGACGAUCAGUAGCCGACCUGAGAGGGUGAUCGGCCACAUUGGAACUGAGACACGGUCCAAACUCCUACGGGAGGCAGCAGUGGGGAAUAUUGCACAAUGGGCGAAAGCCUGAUGCAGCAACGCCGCGUGAGUGAUGAAGGCCUUCGGGUCGUAAAGCUCUGUCCUCAAGGAAGAUAAUGACGGUACUUGAGGAGGAAGCCCCGGCUAACUACGUGCCAGCAGCCGCAGUAA